RNAcentral lists this ribosomal RNA (432 nucleotides) under Coniochaeta mutabilis. Its description in RNAcentral is "eukaryotic LSU rRNA". It matches the Rfam family "Eukaryotic large subunit ribosomal RNA", at positions 124 to 568 of the family's 3401-position model. Lineage: Eukaryota; Fungi; Ascomycota; Sordariomycetes; Coniochaetales; Coniochaetaceae. The record is from RNAcentral.
GGCUUCGGCCCGAGUUGUAAUUUGUAGAGGAUGCUUUUGGUGAGGUGCCUUCUGAGUUCCCUGGAACGGGACGCCAGAGAGGGUGAGAGCCCCGUAUAGUCGGCCACCGAUCCUCUGUAAAGCUCCUUCGACGAGUCGAGUAGUUUGGGAAUGCUGCUCAAAAUGGGAGGUAUAUCUCUUCUAAAGCUAAAUAUUGGCCAGAGACCGAUAGCGCACAAGUAGAGUGAUCGAAAGAUGAAAAGCACUUUGAAAAGAGGGUUAAAUAGCACGUGAAAUUGUUGAAAGGGAAGCGCUUGUGACCAGACUUGUGCCGGGCUGAUCAUCCAGUGUUCUCACUGGUGCACUCGACCCGGCUCAGGCCAGCGUCGGUUCUCGUAGGGGGAUAAAAGCUUCGGGAACGUGGCACCUUCGGGUGUGUUAUAGCCCGUUGCU